UACGUAGGGGGCAAGCGUUGUCCGGAAUCAUUGGGCGUAAAGCACGUGUAGGCGGCCAGAAAAGUCCGCUGUGAAAACUCGAGGCUCAACUUCGAGCUGUCGGUGGAAACUUUCUGGCUAGAGUCCGGAAGAGGAGAAUGGAAUUCCUGGUGUAGCGGUGAAAUGCGCAGAUAUCAGGAAGAACACCCGUGGCGAAGGCGGUUCUCUGGGACGGUACUGACGCUGAGACGCGAAAGCGUGGGGAGCGAACAGG
Molecule: ribosomal RNA, 253 nt
Filed under: uncultured bacterium
Lineage: Bacteria
Description: partial 16S ribosomal RNA
Rfam family: Bacterial small subunit ribosomal RNA
Source: RNAcentral